UGGCGUAUUGCUUUGGGGUGCCGGCGGUUGGGUUCAGUGGCUUUGGAAGAUAUGAUUGGUUUUGAGAAUGACCAUUAGCACUACUUUGAGACUCAUUUUGAGAAUGACCGCCACCGCCGUGCCAAUGACCCGUAUCCGCAACCCCUGAAGCCGACAAAUGUCCCAAUGAGUCUCAGCAGCCAGGAGUUGUACUUCCUAUUGGCGAUCCUGUAGGUUUGCAUCAUAUAUAUAAGGAAGUUGCAAGUCCUAUCGGUAAUGCUAUUACUAAUGAGAUUCAAGUUGUACCUCUUGAGUCUGGCCCAACUACUUGCACGGUUGGAAGCUCAGUUACAAUCUUUAUCUGCUAACCAAGUUUUUCCUUGUACUUCCAUGGCACAAUAACAAUGUGUAAGUGCAGGUUGCUGAACCAAGUUUCUCUUUGUACGUCCAUGGCACAUUAACGAUGUGUAAAUGUAAUAGAAUUAGAAUUAUAAAAUCACAUGAUCAGUAUCAGGAAAAUAACAUAGGUGGCACCUAGUCAAUGACCUCUUAGUAUUUUAAGUAAUGUGAUUGCGUAGCAUUAUAACAUGUUUAUCUUCAUGUGGUUCCUAGUCCUUUUGGCUUUGAAUUUCUCUACUUCUUUGUAUAUUUCAAAUGAGCAGGUUAAUUUUUUUUUUAGAAGUGUGGUCUGGAAUUUUUCAGUAGCAAUAAUGCCACAUUUAUUGGUUUAGUCUCAGGUUUUAUAUCUAUAUUUUCCUGUUCCUUUCAAUGUAUAACACAAUAAACAACCUGUUGUUAAGCGGCAGUUUUUUCUCCUGAAGAAAUGGUAAAAUUUCCCAAUUCCAAUGCAUGUGUAUUUUCUUCUUCCGUUGGAGGUAUGACAAAAUAACGGCUUAUUUUUCAAGAAGCAGAACUUUUUAUGCAGAUAAAAUGAUGAAAUUUCCCAGAAACCUGUCGGUGAUGCAGUUUUUCACUUAUCUAGGAAUUAUGUUUAAAACUACUUAUUUGGUUUUUACCGGCAGUCCAUUUACUGUAAACAUGUAUCCUUUUUUAUGUUUGCCGAUCAAGUUACCACUUAUCCAUUGAUUAUGAUUUGUGGAUCUGUUGCUUCUAUAUGAAUCUUGCCCGUCAUAUAUUUCUAGGAGUCUGUUUUCCGCUGGGAAAGGGCAUGUAUCGUGUGCUUCAUAUACCAGUAGAUGAAGCUGUUCUCUUGAACUCUAGGGAGAAGGCACCGUACAUGAUCUGCUUAGAAGUUUUGAGAUGUGAAAUGCCAAGUAAUUUCAAGGAGACAUCCAGUUCUCAGAAGCUUUCUCAAGGUGGAAUUCCUUUGGCAAAUGGAGAUGCUUUCUUGCAAAAACCACCCCCUUGGGAAUAUCCGUUACGGACAGCACAAGAGGUUUACCGUAAUAGCAAUGAUAGGAUGUCCAGAUCAACUGCUGAGGCAAUUGACCAGGCAAUGACUCAUGUAUCUCAGCCUAAAACAAAAUUUGUUAGCUUGAAUCUUUCGGUGGAAACAUGAUAUAAUGGUCAGGCAGGGAAGACUUAUAGAGAGGGUGUACGUGAAGCAGUAGGAGCCGAACAUGACAGUGAUCUGGAAUGGGUACAAAUAGUGUUGACAGCUGAUCCUGGGGUUAGAUUGGAAGAUAUUGAGGAUCAAGCACCACCUCGGAAGAAGGAACAUCGUCGUGUUCCAAGUACAGUGGCAAUAGAAGAAGUAAAGGCUGCCGCAGCAAAAGGGGAAGCGCCUCUCGGACUCCCUUUGAAAGGUGUUGGCCAAGACUCAUCAGAUGCACAACCGAUGGCUAAUGGAAUUACUCCUAAGGCCAGUGAUGCUUUGUCUGGUGAACUUUGGGAUGCAAAGAAAGAAAGGGUACGCAAGGAUUCGAUAUAUGGGAAGUUACCUGGUUGGGACUUGCGAUCGGUAAGCAUGUAUUUUUAAGCACAAGAAAUGUCUUUAUAUGUAGUUAGUUACCUGUUUUGGAAAUUCAAUAAUUUAUGAACUCAAUGAUAUAUACAUAAAAAUGGUACUCCCUCCUGUCCUUUCUAUAAAAGACAAUCGGGUCAACAAAAAUUGAUGUAUUUGAUCUAUAAUAUUGACCUAACUGUCUUUAAUAAAAAGAACUGGAAGUAGUAUUGUUUAUGAAUUCACAUAUGGUAUUUAUGCAGUAUCUAGAAAAAAGCAGUUUCUUGUGUCAAAAGCUCCACUAUCAUGUCGUUUUUUUUUAUAUCAUUAUUAAUGACUCAAUAAAGAACGGUUGGCAUAUGUUCUAUA
Molecule: non-coding RNA, 2251 nt
Organism: Cicer arietinum (chickpea)
Lineage: Eukaryota; Viridiplantae; Streptophyta; Magnoliopsida; Fabales; Fabaceae
Source: RefSeq, a predicted model, not a curated record